GUACGAAAGUAGGUCUUAGUGAUCCGGUGGUUCUGUAUGGAAGGGCCAUCGCUCAACGGAUAAAAGGUACUCUGGGGAUAACAGGCUGAUACCGCCCAAGAGUUCAUAUCGACGGCGGUGUUUGGCACCUCGAUGUCGGCUCAUCUCAUCCUGGGGCUGAAGCAGGUCCCAAGGGUAUGGCUGUUCGCCAUUUAAAGAGGUACGCGAGCUGGGUUUAGAACGUCGUGAGACAGUUCGGUCCCUAUCUACCGUGGGCGCUGGAAAUUUGAGAGGAUCUGCUCCUAGUACGAGAGGACCAGAGUGGA
This 305-nucleotide ribosomal RNA is filed under the name Acinetobacter baumannii. Its description in RNAcentral is "bacterial LSU rRNA". It matches the Rfam family "Bacterial large subunit ribosomal RNA", at positions 2397 to 2701 of the family's 2925-position model. Lineage: Bacteria; Pseudomonadati; Pseudomonadota; Gammaproteobacteria; Moraxellales; Moraxellaceae. The record is from RNAcentral.